AGGGCGUAUGGGGAAUGCCUAGGCUCUCAGAGGCGAUGAAGGACGUGAUAAGCUGCGAAAAGUUACGGGGAAUGGCACACACAUUUUGAUCCGUAAAUAUCCGAAUAGGGCAACCUGGUUAUUUGAAGAAUAAUCAUCCAUCUUGUAUGGAAGCAAACCCGGAGAACUGAAACAUCUAAGUACCCGGAGGAAGAGAAAACAAUAGUGAUUCCGCUAGUAGUGGCGAGCGAACGCGGAAUAGCCCAAACCUAUGUUGUUACGGCAAUGUAGGGGUUGUAGGACUACAAUAUUUGUUGCUUAAUGAAUUAGAAUCUGUUGGAAAUCAGAACCAUAGAGGGUGAUAGUCCCGUAUAAGUAAAGACAGUUAACGAUAGUAGUAUCCUGAGUAGUACGGGGCACGGGAAACCUUGUAUGAAUCCGGCGGGACCAUCCGCCAAGGCUAAAUACUCCUGAGAGACCGAUAGUGAACUAGUACCGUGAGGGAAAGGUGAAAAGAACCCUGAAUAAGGGAGUGAAAUAGAUCCUGAAACCAUACGCUUACAAGCGGUCGGAGCCCAUUAGGGUGACGGCGUGCCUUUUGCAUAAUGAGCCUACGAGUUAACGUUGCUAGCAAGGUUAAGUACUUAAGGUACGAAGCCGUAGCGAAAGCGAGUCUGAAUAGGGCGCUUUAGUUAGCAGUGUUAGACGCGAAACCGUGUGAUCUACCCAUGGGCAGGGUGAAGCUGUAGUAACAUACAGUGGAGGCCCGAACCCGUUGACGUUGAAAAGUCUUGGGAUGACCUGUGGGUAGGGGUGAAAGGCCAAUCAAACUCGGAAAUAGCUCGUACUCCCCGAAAUGCAUUUAGGUGCAGCGUAUUAUUAGUUUUAUAGAGGUAGAGCUACUGAUUGGAUGCGGGGGCUUCACCGCCUACCAAUUCCUGACAAACUCCGAAUGCUAUAAAAUGUUAAUCAGCAGUGAGGGCAUGGGUGCUAAGGUCCAUGUCCGAGAGGGAAAGAACCCAGACCAUCAGCUAAGGUCCCAAAGUGUAUGCUAAGUUGAAUAAACGAGGUUUGACUGCCCAGACAGCUAGGAUGUUGGCUUGGAAGCAGCCAUUCAUUUAAAGAGUGCGUAACAGCUCACUAGUCGAGCGGUCGAGCAUGGAUAAUAAUCGGGCAUAAGUAUAUCACCGAAACUAUGGCAAUAUUUAUAUUGGGUAGGGGAGCAUUCUAUUCUACGUUGAAGGUAAACUGUGAGGUUUGCUGGAGUGUAUAGAAACGAAAAUGUAGGCAUAAGUAACGAUUAGGGGUGCGAGAAACACCCCCUCCGAAAAACUCAGGUUUCCUCAGCUAUGCUAAUCAGCUGAGGGUUAGUCAGGACCUAACGCGAACCCAAAUGGGGUAGUGGAUGGACAACCAGUUAAUAUUCUGGUACCUGCAUAGCAACAAAAGUGACGGAAAAGCAAUGUCAUUGCGUACUGACAGAAUAGUACGUUGAAAUCACUGUUAAGGUGAUGAUAGUACACCGAUCCUUCGGGUGAGGUGAUAAUAUGACGGACCUUUUUCCAAGAAAAACAAGCUAUGCAGCCUGUACUGUAAACCGACACAGGUAGUUGGGAUGAGGAUUCUAAGGAGCUCGAGAGAUUCAUGGCUAAGGAACUAGGCAAAUUUGACCCGUAACUUCGGGAGAAGGGUCGCCUACUUUUAGUAGGCCGCAGUGAAAAGGUCCAAGCGACUGUUUAUCAAAAACACAGGACUCUGCUAAGUCGAAAGACGAUGUAUAGGGUCUGACACCUGCCCGGUGCUGGAAGGUUAAGUGGAGAUGUUAGCAUUUAUUUGCAAAGCAUUGAAAUGAAGCCCCAGUAAACGGCGGCCGUAACUAUAACGGUCCUAAGGUAGCGAAAUUCCUUGUCGGGUAAGUUCCGACCUGCACGAAUGGUGUAACGAUUUGGACACUGUCUCAGCCAUGAGCUCGGUGAAAUUGUAGUAGCGGUGAAGAUGCCGCUUACCCGCCACGGGACGAAAAGACCCCGUGCACCUUUACUAUAGCUUCGUAUUGAUAUUGGAUAAGUAAUGUGUAGGAUAGGUGGGAGACUUUGAUUGAGCGUCGCCAGGCGUUUUUGAGUCGUUGUUGAAAUACCACCCUUUACUUCUCGGAUAUCUAACCCUUUUUGGGAACAGUGCGUGGUGGGUAGUUUGACUGGGGUGGUCGCCUCCAAAAGAGUAACGGAGGCUUCU
Molecule: ribosomal RNA, 2214 nt
Filed under: seawater metagenome
Description: bacterial LSU rRNA
Rfam family: Bacterial large subunit ribosomal RNA
Source: RNAcentral